UAUGAAUGGCAAAACGAGGGCUAAGCUGUCUCCUCUCUCCAGUCAAUGAAAUUGAUCCCCCCGUGAAGAAGCGGGGAUAUACACAUAAGACGAGAAGACCCUUUGGAGCUUUAGACGCAAGGCAGAUCACGUUAAACACCCAGCAUGAAGGGGACAAACUAAAUGGAACCUGCCCUGAUGUCUUUGGUUGGGGCGACCGCGGGGUAAACCAAAACCCCCACGUGGAAUGAGGAGACUUUUCUCUUUACUCAGAGCUACCGCUCUAAUUAUCAGAAAUUCUGACCAAAAAGAUCCGGCAAAGCCGAUCAACGAACCAAGUUACCCUAGGGAUAACAGCGCAAUCCCCUUCUAGAGACCCUAUCGACAAGGGAGUUUACGACCUCGAUGUUGGAUCAGGACAUCCUAAUGGUGCAGCUGCUAUUAAGGGUUCGUUUGUUCAACGAUUAAAGUCCUACGUGAUCUGAGUCA
RNAcentral lists this ribosomal RNA (468 nucleotides) under Lophiodes spilurus (threadfin angler). RNAcentral describes it as "partial 16S ribosomal RNA". It matches the Rfam family "Bacterial large subunit ribosomal RNA", at positions 1991 to 2612 of the family's 2925-position model. The record is from RNAcentral. Lineage: Eukaryota; Metazoa; Chordata; Actinopteri; Lophiiformes; Lophiidae.